CUAGGGGAGACUCUUAAGAGAAAAGGUGCUAUAGGAACUGGAAAAGUUGUCUAGUGUGUAAUACGUCAAACCGACUAAGAGCAUGGGCACAACAGCUGACUUUCAAAGCUGAAACUAAAUAAGCAGAUGUUGAUUCAGAUCCAAAGCACCUCCUUGCCCUCCAACAAGAGUUGCUUCCACUAUAACACACCUGCUCAAAGAGGAGGAACCCACUAAAUUCACUUUAUGAAGUCUGGUUUCCGAUAAUAAACCGUAGGUGCAAAGGUAGCUGAAGUAGUGUCACUGGGACUUCUAGUGUGACAGCUCACAAGGCUCCUUGGUGGCUAUUGAUUGCUGUGCAGGAGGAGCAGCAAUUCACCUUUGACAGAGAAAACUGGGAUGUGCUUAAUAGGGGAAAGUUUUGAUAAAGCCUUUUGAGGUUGUACUUUUCUGACAUCAAGGAUUUGUGCCACUGGCAUAUUAAUAAAGUUGUUAUGGUCCCAA
Neopsephotus bourkii (Bourke's parrot) is the source of this 483-nucleotide long non-coding RNA. RefSeq lists it as uncharacterized. The record is from RefSeq and is a predicted model, not a curated record. The transcript is spliced from 2 exons. Lineage: Eukaryota; Metazoa; Chordata; Aves; Psittaciformes; Psittacidae.